Molecule: long non-coding RNA, 386 nt
Filed under: Physcomitrium patens
Lineage: Eukaryota; Viridiplantae; Streptophyta; Bryopsida; Funariales; Funariaceae
Description: long non-coding RNA (PPAT_LNC002257)
Source: RNAcentral
AUGUUAUAUAAAUCAAAGAAUAAAUUAGAUAUAUAUAUAUUUUAUAACUAAUGUAUAAGAGUUUUUUUACAAUGCCAAAUAUAAUCAUUUAAAAAAAAAUAAUAAAAAAUUAUCAUAUAUGAUUAGUAAAUCCUUAAAAGAUAAUAUUUAUUUAUUUAUAUAUAUAUUUUUUAAUGAAGUGACGUACAAGUAGGUACUAUAAUGAUUCAAAUCACAAUUCACAAUAAUUUUAUAUUGUAACAACUUUAAGGCUUAAAAUACAAUGUUAUGAAAUAAUAUUAUACUAUUAAAAUAUUAGUUUUUAUUGUCGGAAGAAAAUGUGCAUUAGUACUGAUUUUUUUUGAAAAUAAAAGAUAUGUAUAUAUAUAUAUAUAUAUAUAUAUAGG